This 2031-nucleotide long non-coding RNA is filed under the name Macaca fascicularis (crab-eating macaque). RNAcentral's name for it is "lncRNA (ENSMFAG00000062554.1)". The record is from RNAcentral. Lineage: Eukaryota; Metazoa; Chordata; Mammalia; Primates; Cercopithecidae.
AGCAGAGCACUCAUACCAGAUUCCUGACCCACAGACAUUGUGAGAUAAUAAAUGUGUAUGGUUUAUUAAGCCACUAAGUUUGGGGAUAAUCCAUUACACAGCAAUUAAUAACUAAUACACAGCUCAGCAUCUCAGUUCCUUCAGCCUCCAUUUAUUUCCAGACCCUUCUGUAAGAAUUAAAGAAAAAGGAAGGCAACACGAAAGGUGGCUCACCAGUCAAGACAGGUUUAUUUUAGAGAAAACAAACCUGAGAGGAGCUUCUGGCUGAGUUAGGUUGGAGACACACUGUCUUACAGACUAAGAGUUUUUAAGAAUUCAGGGUGAGAGAGUUUAUCAGAGGCUUGGACUGCUUCUAUGUCUCGUUGUGCUUAUCUCGGAUAGAGAGUUGUGUGUCUGUUCCCAUACAUCUUUCUGCAGCUGCAGGCAUACCCCCGAGUCUGCUUUUAGUUUCCCUAUCUUAGUAUACCUGAAGGGAAAGGAAUGUGCUUAUUAAGGCCCACUGUUUUACUGGGGUCCCAUUGUGAGGGUGAAGUUUGGCAGUUACCCAAGAGACUUUCCCCCACCUCCCUCUGUGCCCGAGCUGUCUUAUCUGUUUUACUGUCUGCUCUUUCUGGCUGUUUGUAGUUAGAAAAGAAGUGAUUUCCUUGAAAUGCAUGAGGCUAGAAAGGGAGCUAGAACUUAAAGUGAUGGUGUUUGUCUGAGAUGACGGUGCUCCUGCUCUGUCACCUUUCCCAUCCUUUCUCUGUAUAUACUCCAAUAUAUCAGUGUCCUUCCUAAAAUAUGGGCCCUAGAAUGGGUCACAACACUCUAGAUGUGGUUGUGCAGCAGGACUGUUUCCGCCUGUAUGAUGGACAUUGCCCCUGAUUCUUGCCCAAGAUGCCAUUAGCAUUUUAAUGGAUGUAUCUCACAGAUGAUUUUCUUUUGAUCUUGUGGUUGACUAAAACCCCUAGGUCUAUGCCCCAUGAACUGUAAGGAAAGCCUAGUCACCCACCAUUGCAUAAUUGUGCCAUUUUUUGUUGUUGUUGUUAAGACAGUCUCUCUCUGUUACCCAGGCUGGAGUGCGGUGGCACCAUCUCAGCUCACUGCAACCUCCACCUCCCAGGUUCAAGCAAUCCUCCUGCCUCAGCCUUCCCAGUAGCUGGGACUACAGGUGUGCACCACCAUACCUAGCUAAUUUUUGUAUUUUUAGUAGAGAUGGGGUUUCACCAUGUUGGCCAGGCUGGUCUCAAACUCUUGGCCUCAAGUGAUUCUCCUGCCUUGGCCUCCCAAAAUGUUGGGAUUACAGGGGUGAGCCACCUUGCCCAGCGGUGCCACUGAUUUUCAAAACCCAAAUGUAGGACUUUACAGUAGCUCUAGAAAACAGUCAUUCUGCCUGUCCUGGCCAAGUGAAGACCCUGCAGACACUAUUUUGUAUCUGCUGUAUUCAUUUACUCUCCCAACUCUGAGCCAUCUGCAUACGUGGUCAAGCAUCCACCCAGCCCUGAACUAUCGUGUUGACUAAAAUGAUGAGCAAAUACAGAAGCUGCUCUCAAGGGUCCCAAAAGGAAGGCAGGAACCCCGCACUGAUGGAGACUCAUUAAAUGCCAAUCUUUGCCUGCUCCUUUUAUAUAGGGUACCUCACCUCAUUCUCACUAUAAUCCUACAGAGUAGUCACGAUUUGCAGAUAGACUGAGGCUUAGAGAGGAGAAAUAAUUUUCAUUUAUUCCAAAGAAAUAAUUUUUAAAAAGAAAAAAAGCCAGCCAGGUGCGGUGGCUCACACCUGUAAUCCCAGCACUUUGGGAAGCCAAGACGGGCAGAUCAGUUGAGGUCAGGAGUUCAAGACCAGCCUGACCAACAUGGUGAAACCUGGUCUCUACUAAAAAUACAAAAAUUAGCUGGGCGUGGCAGCGCGUGCUUGUAAUCCCAGCUACUUGGAAGGCAGGAGAAUCACUUGAACCCGCGAGGUAGAGGUUGCAGUGAGCUGAGAUCACAACACCGCACUCCAGCCUGGGCGACAGAGUGAGAGUCCAUCUCAAAAAAAAAAAGAAAAAA